ACCCUCUGGUUCCCUUUCCCAUCGGAUCUUGACACUGGUCUUGGUGGUCGUAAAGGAGGAAGAGUAUGCGGAUACUGGCCUCACAGCAAUGUACUCUGGUAUAGAGCACUGGCCAGGUUCAAACAUAU
Molecule: small nucleolar RNA, 128 nt
Organism: Meriones unguiculatus (Mongolian gerbil)
Lineage: Eukaryota; Metazoa; Chordata; Mammalia; Rodentia; Muridae
Source: Ensembl